CCCUUAGAUGUCCGGGGCUGCACGCGCGCUACACUGAAGGAAUCAGCGUGCUAAAACCAUUGUCGAAAGGCAUUAGUAAACCCAUUAAAAUCCUACGUGAUUGGGAUCGGGAAUUGCAAUUAUUUCCCUUGAACGAGGAAUUCCCAGUAAGUGUGGGUCAUAAGCUCGCGUUGAUUACGUCCCUGCCCUUUGUACACACCGCCCGUCGCUGCCCGGGACUGAGCCGUUUCGAGAAAAGCGGGGACUGCUGCUGUCGGGGCUUUCGGGCCUUGGCUUCGGUGGAAACCGCUUUAAUCGCAGUGGCUUGAACCGGGCAAAAGUCGUAACA
This 328-nucleotide ribosomal RNA is filed under the name uncultured eukaryote. Its description in RNAcentral is "partial 18S ribosomal RNA". It matches the Rfam family "Eukaryotic small subunit ribosomal RNA", at positions 1470 to 1796 of the family's 1831-position model. The record is from RNAcentral.